This 344-nucleotide ribosomal RNA is filed under the name uncultured bacterium. Its description in RNAcentral is "bacterial SSU rRNA". It matches the Rfam family "Bacterial small subunit ribosomal RNA", at positions 9 to 355 of the family's 1533-position model. The record is from RNAcentral.
GAGUUUGAUCAUGGCUCAGAUUGAACGCUAGCGGCAGGCCUAACACAUGCAAGUCGAGCGGAUGAAGGGAGCUUGCUCUCUGAUUCAGCGGCGGACGGGUGAGUAAUGCCUAGGAAUCUGCCUGGUAGUGGGGGACAACGUCUCGAAAGGGACGCUAAUACCGCAUACGUCCUACGGGAGAAAGCAGGGGACCUUCGGGCCUUGCGCUAUCAGAUGAGCCUAGGUCGGAUUAGCUAGUUGGUGAGGUAAUGGCUCACCAAGGCGACGAUCCGUAACUGGUCUGAGAGGAUGAUCAGUCACACUGGAACUGAGACACGGUCCAGACUCCUACGGGAGGCAGCAGA